UAAGGAGGAUCCGAGCGUUAUCCGGAUUUAUUGGGUGUAAAGGGUGCGUAGAUGGAUAAACAAGUUGGUUGUGAAAUCCCUCGGCUUAACUGAGGAAUUGCAACCAAAACUGUAGAUCUUGAGUACUGGAGGGGAAAGCGGAAUUCCUAGUGUAGCGGUGAAAUGCGUAGAUAUUAGGAAGAACACCGGUGGCGAAGGCGGCUUUCUGGACAGAAACUGACAUUGAGGCACGAAAGUGUGGGGAGCAAAAAGG
RNAcentral lists this ribosomal RNA (253 nucleotides) under uncultured Eubacteriales bacterium. Its description in RNAcentral is "uncultured Clostridiales bacterium partial 16S ribosomal RNA". It matches the Rfam family "Bacterial small subunit ribosomal RNA", at positions 524 to 776 of the family's 1533-position model. Lineage: Bacteria; Bacillati; Bacillota; Clostridia; Eubacteriales. The record is from RNAcentral.